This 497-nucleotide ribosomal RNA is filed under the name uncultured bacterium. RNAcentral describes it as "partial 16S ribosomal RNA". It matches the Rfam family "Bacterial small subunit ribosomal RNA", at positions 28 to 507 of the family's 1533-position model. The record is from RNAcentral.
GAUGAACGCUGGCGGCGUGCCUAACACAUGCAAGUCGAGCGAACAGAUGAGGCGUUUGCUCCUCUGACGUUAGCGGCGGACGGGUGAGUAACACGUGGAUAACCUACCUAUAAGACUGGGAUAACUUCGGGAAACCGGAUCUAACACCGGAUAAGAUAUUGAACCGCAUGGUUCAUUAGUGAAAGACGGUUUUGCUGUCACUUAUAGAUGGAUCCGCGCCGCAUUAGCUAGUUGGUAAGGUAACGGCUUACCAAGGCAACGAUGCGUAGCCGAACUGAGAGGGUGAUCGGCCACACUGGAACUGAGACACGGUCCAGACUCCUACGGGAGGCAGCAGUAGGGAAUCUUCCGCAAUGGGCGAAAGCCUGACGGAGCAACGCCGCGUGAGUGAUGAAGGUCUUCGGAUCGUAAAACUCUGUUAUUAGGGAAGAACAAAUGUGUAAGUAACUAUGCACGUCUUGACGGUACCUAAUCAGAAAGCCACGGCUAACUACGUG